UAGUCUGAUUUCUCUUCAGAAUGCAUAAAUCCUUCUCCUUUUACUAAAGAUUUCCGUGGAGAGGAUCAAUAGUGGAUGGGCAAUAGGAAGUUCACCCCAGGGCUCACUUCAGUGGCCUUG
Protopterus annectens (West African lungfish) is the source of this 120-nucleotide small nuclear RNA. RefSeq annotates it as U5 spliceosomal RNA. The record is from RefSeq and is a predicted model, not a curated record. The transcript has a single exon. Lineage: Eukaryota; Metazoa; Chordata; Ceratodontiformes; Protopteridae.